UAGGAAUACAAUUCAAACUCU
Molecule: non-coding RNA, 21 nt
Filed under: Caenorhabditis elegans
Lineage: Eukaryota; Metazoa; Nematoda; Chromadorea; Rhabditida; Rhabditidae
Source: RNAcentral